Molecule: long non-coding RNA, 1936 nt
Filed under: Oryctolagus cuniculus (rabbit)
Lineage: Eukaryota; Metazoa; Chordata; Mammalia; Lagomorpha; Leporidae
Description: lncRNA (ENSOCUG00000038968.1)
Source: RNAcentral
AGGAAAGUCCAGCAUUCAACUCAAUAAAAAAGGAAGGAGGGAGGACACCUACAUUCUCUUUCUUCCAAAAUCUGAUUUUACCAUUGUGUUCUUCAUUAUGAUUAAUGACAUCAUUCUUCUCUGAAAGGCUCAGAUAAGAACAGUGUGGUCAUUUAUUUCCUCUGACUUCUCAACUGCAGCAACAUUUGCCAGUAACUAGGACAUGCAGAGACUGAGUGAAAUCUCAAGAGUUGAACUAAUGUUUCUAAAUGGUUAGAGCAAGCUAAGGUCUCUUUCUGGAACUGCAAUUCCCAACCACUUGAAUCAGAAUCAGAAGAAGCAAUUUAUUUUUUUAAAAAAGAAAAGUUAAAGUCAAUAUUCCAGAAAUUCUGAGACAGGAGUUUUGGUAGUGGGGACGUGAACCACAUGUUCAUUGGUAUCCUCAGGGAAUUGGUCCCAGGAACCCGUGAAGACACCAAAAUCCAUGGAUUGUAUUUUUUCUUAUAUAAAAUGAUACGGUAUUUACAUAUAAUUAAGCACUUCCUCCUGUAUACUUUAAAACACCUCUAGAUUACUUAUAAUACCUAAAUAUCAUGUAAAUACUGUGUAAAUCAGCACAUUGAUUGUGACAAGUAUACUAAUAGAGUUUAAUAAUUGGAGAAGUAGGUUGAGGGGCAAAGGAGAACUCUUUAUUAACUGCCUCAAAAUUUUGGUUUGUAAAUUGGAUAUCCUGAAAUAAAAUGUUCAAAAAUAAAUAGUUGUUAUACUGUAUUUUUUAUGGGAUAAGCCUGUACAGAUAUGAUUUUUUUCCCAACUAUUUUCCAUGCACAGUUGGUUGAAUCUGCCAAUGAAGAACUUGCAGAUAGAUUUGGAGGGUCACUGUACUUCCAUAAAAGAUGGCUGAGUCUUUUUGUAUAUGUGUGCUCCUGGAGGAAAACUACAUGUCGGUUAACAUAAUAGUUGGCGGCAAAGUGGUUGAAGAUGUGGGGAGAAAGAAGAUAACUAAAAGCUGAAAAUCACUGAAAAAGCGGGAGACGGUAAUAUCCUUGAAUUAUGACAUACAAACUUCUACUAGCCAAAGCAAAGACCACAGAAGCAGGAUUACCGGUAGACCAGUUGUUGGCAGAUUGAGGCGCUCUUGGCUGAAGAUGGCCUUUCCAUCUCCUUGAAGAGUGUGGAUGAGAUAUUUUCAUCUGCCUUUAAUGCUGCCAUGCUUCUCUUGCUGAGCCUAAUUUCUGCACAGGCAGAGGAAGUACCUUCCCUGCUUUCACAGUUAUAACUUUUGGUGUCAAUUGUGAGCCUAGCCGCUAAUUCUGCAGCAUAACUCUUGUACAUGAGUGCUUAGGACAGAUUCUUAUCCUUUGUUAUCCAUUGCCAGAUAAACUCUCUUCAUAUAAAUAGGCCUGGACUUGACCACAAAUCAUCAGUCUAUUUUUCACUUUUUUUUCUUGUUAAGUUCCUAUGUUGGGUCCUUCGUUCCUUUCUUCCAUUUGUGCCUGCAGAGGGCUUUAAAAAGGAGACAAAUUCUAGAUACCUUUUCUUUCAGAGGCUCCACAUCAGUUUUGCUUCAAGGCAGGAAAAUGGAAGUCAAUGUUAAGUAUUUCAAACAAGAAGUGGUUUAGUUUAGAUUUCAAAACCAUAAGAAGGCCGAAGAAAGAUAAGGUUAGGGAGGCCAGCCUUCCACUUAUAAAAUCAAGAAGUGCUUGAACCCAGGAAACCAUUGCCCUUGAUUUCACUGUCCACUCAACUAAACCAGGAGGUGCUUUGGAACACAUCAGGAAGCUACUAGGGAAAUCUUGACACUGAAGCCCUGUGGAAUGCUAGCUACAGCAAUAAGAGACAUAAUUGUGUUACUUCUUUCAUGCCUUCCAGAUUUGCACUAUUUCUUCUCUUUGGCAAAACAUAAUUUAGGAUUAUAGUGGCAAGAAUUUUAAAAAAUGUAAUUCCCAGUCUCCCA